This 67-nucleotide transfer RNA is filed under the name Proneotermes latifrons. Its description in RNAcentral is "tRNA-Pro". The record is from RNAcentral. Lineage: Eukaryota; Metazoa; Arthropoda; Insecta; Blattodea; Kalotermitidae.
CAGGGGGUAGUUUAGGUUAUAAAAUAUUAACUUUGGAGGUUGUUGAUGGGGUUGUUCCUUUCCCUGA